This 402-nucleotide ribosomal RNA is filed under the name uncultured bacterium. RNAcentral's name for it is "bacterial SSU rRNA". It matches the Rfam family "Bacterial small subunit ribosomal RNA", at positions 29 to 416 of the family's 1533-position model. The record is from RNAcentral.
AGCGAACGUUAGCGGCGGGCCUAACACAUGCAAGUCGAGCGAGAAAGGGGGUUCGCCCCCGAGUACAGCGGCGGACGGGUGAGUAACACGUAGGUAAUUUUCCCUUGAGCGGGGGACAACGUUCCGAAAGGGACGCUAAUACCGCAUAAGUUCUUGGGUGCUUCGGCACUGGAGAGGAAAGCUAGGCCGCAAGGUCUGGCACUCGAGGAGAAGCCUGCGUCGCAUCAGCUAGUUGGUGGGGUAAUGGCCUACCAAGGCAAAGACGCGUAGCUGGUCUGAGAGGAUGAUCAGCCACACUGGGACUGAGACACGGCCCAGACUCCUACGGGAGGCAGCAGUGGGGAAUAUUGGGCAAAUGGGCGAAAAGCCUGAUCCAGCAAUGCCGCGUGAGUGAUGAAGGCC